UUUCAGUUAGUGGGGUAUGCAUUUCCUGACAAUCUGUGGAGCCAGCAGGUUCCUCAUAGGCAGACAGAUAUUAGGAUCAGUGCUGGGUAAAAACAUUUUAAGCUUAUCUUUCUGUUUAAAUACUCAUACACAAAUACUACCUUCAUAAAAACUACUGAAGCUGCAAGAGAGUGAAGACUAACAAAACUCUUUGUUUUCUUCUGGCAAAUGAACAAAUGUUACUUAUGCCAGGCAAGCUUAAAAGAUAAAGGGUUCUCCUGCUGCAAAAGCAGCAAGCUGCUACACGUCUCUUAUAACUGUGGGUACAGAGGAAUUUACAAUCAUCUGGACAAGCAGAAUGCUGAUUUCUGCCAAGGACUUCCAGGCAACACAUGUUUAAACCAGUGUGGAGUGGCCACCACUGGGACGCUUCUGAUCAUCUGCUGGUCUGCACUGAGAGGCUCUGCAUUGGGACACAAGAAAAGGAUUUUAUUUUGCAAUCUGGAGAAGCAGUUGCAGUCUUUCAAAAUAUGGAAAUUUGAAUCACUGCAGCCUGUGAACUACUCUACAUUUCUGACACAAACCUUGAACUGCUACUGAGCACUGUGGAGCUGUCUCUAAGUGUUAGCUUCAGAAGGCUUGCAGCACUCAAACCUGCAGCUGCCAUGUGUCUUCUAGGUAAAAGCAAGGAAGAGAUGGAGAGAAGGAAAUUCACCUUUAUCUUUCCCAGAAGAGGAGAGGCAAUGGUUUAAUGUGAUUAAUGAUUUAAUGGCUUCAUGAUCCACAGCCGUCCCAGACAGUGCAAAUCACUCUGACUUCACCUCGGGGUGUCAAGAUAGAAGCUGGAGCUGCAUGGCUGCUGGUCCCUUUGCCCACUGGGGCUCUUUGUGGUGGUUGUCAAAGGAAACUUUUCAGAGGGAGCACAUCUGUGUAAUGAUGUACAUUAAGGUAACAUGGUAAUGGAGCUAAUAUCUCCUGAGAGGCUCUGGUAAAUUUGGAAGGAUACUGUGUUCCUUUACUGGUGUGUUGCUUCUCUGCCCAGCUGAGAUCAGAGUGAGAGUGGCAAUGGUGAUGGCAGGGAGAUAAUUUGAAGGUAAGGACACCAGAGUUUGUAUCUGAAUUUGCCUAUUUCAGUUUGCAAGUAUAAUGAGUUGUCAAUAAGAGUGUUCAGAUGAGUAGUUUUUUUAACAAAUGCACUAUUACCUAUACAAC
Molecule: long non-coding RNA, 1191 nt
Organism: Hirundo rustica (Barn swallow)
Lineage: Eukaryota; Metazoa; Chordata; Aves; Passeriformes; Hirundinidae
Exons: 6
Source: RefSeq, a predicted model, not a curated record